GGCCUCUUGCCCCUUGAGCUGCUGAGGAUCCCACUGCUCCUCAGCCAGGGCUGGAGGCCAAAAUCAGCCCCGGAGGAGAACUGUCAGAGCUGCCAAGAGUGGGCAGCCUUGUUUUCCUGCCUCAGACAUGU
Molecule: non-coding RNA, 131 nt
Organism: Heterocephalus glaber (naked mole-rat)
Lineage: Eukaryota; Metazoa; Chordata; Mammalia; Rodentia; Bathyergidae
Source: Ensembl